Molecule: ribosomal RNA, 621 nt
Filed under: uncultured Actinomycetes bacterium
Lineage: Bacteria; Bacillati; Actinomycetota; Actinomycetes
Description: bacterial SSU rRNA
Rfam family: Bacterial small subunit ribosomal RNA
Source: RNAcentral
GUGAGGUAACGGCUCACCAAGGCGAUGACGGGUAGCGGGUCUGAGAGGAUGAUCCGUCACACUGGGACUGAGACACUGCCCAGACUCCUACGGGAGGCUGCAGUCGAGAAUCUUCCACAAUGGGCGAAAGCCUGAUGGAGCGACGCUGCGUGUAGGAUGAAGGCCUUAGGGUUGUAAACUACUGUCACGCCAUAGGAACCCGUAGUCGUUAAUAGCGGCUACGCUGACCAAAGCGAGAGGAAGUGCCGGCUAACUCCGUGCCAGCAGCCGCGGUAAGACGGAGGGCGCAAGCGUUGUUCGGAAUCACUGGGCAUAAAGAGUACGUAGGCGGUCUGCUAAGUCAGAUGUGAAAGCCCUGGGCUUAACCCGGGAACUGCAUUUGAUACUGGCAGACUUGAGGACAGCAGGGGUGAGUGGAACUUCAGGUGGAACGGUGAAAUGUGUAGAUAUCUGAAGGAACACCGGUGGCGAAAGCGGCUCACUGGGCCGUCUCUGACGCUGAGGUACGAAAGCUAGGGUAGCGAACGGGAUUAGAUACCCCGGUAGUCCUAGCCGUAAACGAUGGGCACUAGGCAUUGGGCCCUCCUAUGAGGUUCAAUGCCGUAGCUAAUGUGUUAAGUG